UGGUAGAUGCACCCUAAUAAAUUACAGCCCUUAGCCUAAAGCUGGGGGCUUUUAUU
This 56-nucleotide small RNA is filed under the name Nostoc punctiforme PCC 73102. Its description in RNAcentral is "Nitrogen stress-induced RNA 1". It matches the Rfam family "Nitrogen stress-induced RNA 1". The record is from Rfam by way of RNAcentral. Lineage: Bacteria; Bacillati; Cyanobacteriota; Cyanophyceae; Nostocales; Nostocaceae. RNAcentral also lists the same sequence under 1 other name.